UUCUAUGUUACGACUUAUCUUAUCUUAAGAAUAAGAGCGACGGGCGAUGUGUGCAUAUUUUAGAGCUAAAAUCAAAUUUUUAAUCUAUAAAAUUUUACUAUCAAAUCCAUUUUCAUUAAAUAUUUCAAAUUUAAAUUCACUUAAAUAAUUUUAUUGUAACCCAUUUCUACUUAAAUAUAAGCUACACCUUGAUCUGAUAUAAAUUUUAAUAAAAAUUAUGGAAAAUUAUUAUUCUUAUAAAAUAUUCUUAUAACGACGGUAUAUAAACUGAAAAACAAAUUUAAGUAAGGUACAUCGUGGAUUAUCAAUUACAGAACAGGUUCCUCUGAAUAGACUAAAAUACCGCCAAAUUUUUUAAGUUUCAAGAACAUAACUAAUACUACCUUAGUGUUAAUAUUUACAUUUUAAAUAAUAGGGUAUCUAAUCCUAGUUUA
Molecule: ribosomal RNA, 434 nt
Filed under: Rhagoletis pomonella (apple maggot)
Lineage: Eukaryota; Metazoa; Arthropoda; Insecta; Diptera; Tephritidae
Description: partial 12S ribosomal RNA
Source: RNAcentral